Molecule: ribosomal RNA, 650 nt
Filed under: uncultured bacterium
Lineage: Bacteria
Description: bacterial SSU rRNA
Rfam family: Bacterial small subunit ribosomal RNA
Source: RNAcentral
UGAGUAACGCGUGGGUAACCUGCCUUAUACAGGGGGAUAACAGUUAGAAAUGACUGCUAAUACCACAUAAGCGCACAGUCUCGCAUGGGACAGUGUGAAAAACUAAGGUGGUAUAAGAUGGACCCGCGUCUGAUUAGCUAGUUGGUGGGGUAAAGGCCUACCAAGGCGACGAUCAGUAGCCGACCUGAGAGGGUGAUCGGCCACAUUGGGACUGAGACACGGCCCAAACUCCUACGGGAGGCAGCAGUGGGGAAUAUUGCACAAUGGGGGAAACCCUGAUGCAGCGACGCCGCGUGGAGGAAGAAGGUUUUCGGAUUGUAAACUCCUGUCGUUAGGGACGAUAAUGACGGUACCUAACAAGAAAGCACCGGCUAACUACGUGCCAGCAGCCGCGGUAAAACGUAGGGUGCAAGCGUUGUCCGGAAUUACUGGGUGUAAAGGGAGCGCAGGCGGGAAGACAAGUUGGAAGUGAAAACCAUGGGCUCAACCCAUGAAUUGCUUUCAAAACUGUUUUUCUUGAGUAGUGCAGAGGUAGAUGGAAUUCCCGGUGUAGCGGUGGAAUGCGUAGAUAUCGGGAGGAACACCAGUGGCGAAGGCGGUCUACUGGGCACCAACUGACGCUGAGGCUCGAAAGCAUGGGUAGCAAACAG